Molecule: transfer RNA, 72 nt
Filed under: Camelus bactrianus (Bactrian camel)
Lineage: Eukaryota; Metazoa; Chordata; Mammalia; Artiodactyla; Camelidae
Also listed under: 2 other names
Rfam family: tRNA
About the family: Transfer RNA (tRNA) molecules are approximately 80 nucleotides in length. Their secondary structure includes four short double-helical elements and three loops (D, anti-codon, and T loops).
Source: Rfam by way of RNAcentral
GGAGGUAUAGCUCAGUGGUAGAGUGUGUGCUUGGCAUGCUUGGGGUCCUGAGUUCAAUCCCCAGUGCCUGCG